GCGCCACCACGUGCCUGGCCUUCGCGCCCGCCCGGAGCGCCGCCAUCAUCGGGAACACGCAGCAGCAGACGUUCAGCGUCGUCUACGACGUCAAGAACAGCAAGAUCGGGUUCGCCGCCGGCGGCUGCAGCUGAGAAGCGACACCUACAUACACGCGCAUGCACAGACCGACUCGGUAACUAAAACUAAAACGAACAGCGCAUGCAUGCAUCUACCGUCCGGUUUCGUCUGAAACCAUCAUUAAUUUCGAUCGUCCACUCCACGCACAGCAAGUUCUUUACGGAGCUUGCCGCAUAUGAUAUGUACAUGGUGACAAGAUAAGGUACAGGAGAAUUGAUGAAAGAAGCGUUGCCGGCCAGUCGUCGUUGCACGAGAACAAACACAUAAAUUAAAACAUUAUUACAGGAGUAGGGUAUUUAUUGUAUUGUUCAGGCCAGAAAAAUAUGUGGAAAGUGGGUCUUUAACUUAAUUCGGAAGAAGCAUAUAGCACUCCAAAAAAAAAAAAAGAUUCAUAUUCAUCACAUAGCCAACAGAUAGCAUGUAGUAGCUGUUCAUGCAUGUUAUUCUUUUGGCAAGUCCUGGUCAGGAAGUACUAUUUACUGUGUGUAGGACGAAUAAACUGAAGUGAUGUGUAUGUUUCUGAUUUCUUUCGUACUUGCAACCCCGGGCCCACGUGGUUUUUUUACUCCCUUCUAUAUAUACUGUGGAAAAUAUUGUAACCCACGCACAAGACACACACUCCUAUGCUAUAUAUGUUCUAUGCACAAGACACACUUUGUUAACGAACAAAGAGAUCGAUGAUGCAAAUAUUUAUCACUAUAUAUAUAUGGCUAUUGUUAGUUUCGUGCCUUUUGCACGAUGAAUAUAAUGGUUGAACAUGCAUGGGACGAACAGGUGGUUAGCAAAUCUGUACAAGAAUUCAUUCACAUAUCACAGUCUUCAACGGGACAGGCCUUUGGAUUUUGAUGAGGCAAACCAAUAUCUAGGUAUUAUCUGUUUGCUCUUUCAGCAUUUCGGAGUGGAAUUGUGUACAGUUAGUCGUGAACUACAUUUUUCCUUGUAGAGUUGCCCCUGUAAAAAGCGUGUUGCUACCUGAUUGAAUUCGAGUAGAUGUCCUCUGCAUGUCAUCCUAACAAAUUCCAUUUUUCUACCUGCCUGUUGAAGUAAUGGGUUUAUUUGUACCUGUUUUUUGAUUGCUUCUUCCGUUCAACCUGGUUGUUGUCUCUUUUAAGCUGGGAUGGACAUUUGUAUAUGUACUUUUGUGUUCCAGGUUAUUUUUUGUUUGUAUUUUGUACAUAAGCCUUCUUCCCACAUGCUUCUUUCUGAAGUUUCCACGGAUAAAAAUUACUUUCAUGGAAAAGGGAAGGGGCUGUAAUAUACUUCUCAAGUACUGAGCUAUUAUACCUCUUUAUUGUCACUAAUAUGGUAUUGUGAUUUCCUUCUCUGCAAUUUCAGAGAAAUGUGAAAGAGAUAAAUCGCGUGUUCUUGUUCAUUGCAUGACUGGAAAAAACAGGUACUUAAUUGCUUGUGAAGAACUUCUAUUAGCUUUUACGCUGUCUGCUUUGUUGCGAUUGGUUGACGAAUACUUCUUUGGAACACAUUUUGUUAGGUCCGCUGCUAUUGUUGCAGCCUUCUUGAUGAAGUCUAGAGGGUGGAGACUUGCACAGUCUUUUCAAUGGGUGAAAGACCGAAGACCACAGGUUCAACUGACAGAUGGUUAGCUUCACUUCAUACCCUUCGAAGCUUGUUGACUAAUUAAGACACCGUCUCUAUUACAUCAUGAAUCCUUGGUUCCUUGCCUAUCAAAUGUUAAUUUUUUUUCUCACCUGAAUUGACAGCAGUCUACUCUAUAUACAUACUUACAUAGUGAAUAAGCACUGCUAAACUACAUUGUUUAGUUUAUUGUGUAGUUCGUAUCCCAGUUAGCAAUUUUUCAGAGACUAGGUUAAUACAUUAUGAAUGAAUAUAGCGGCUUUCACGUCCCCUUACCCCGCACGCCACACACAAAAAAAAAGGAAAAGGAAAAAGAACACACAUAGUACAUAAACUUUGACUCUCACAUUUAUAUUGUCAUUAGGUAAUUAUAACAUGUUUCUUCUAUGCAGCUUCUCAGAAGGAGCUUUUGGAGUAUGAGCUGAAGCUUUUCGGACCCAGUACUCAAACCUUGGUUCCCACUGAAUCAUUUGCUUCUCUUGGAUUUGGUUAUACAAAACCAGCAGGUGACAUGCAAACGCCUGUGUUCAACCAAACGACCAUGCCAUCCAUAUUCGAGCGAUUCAACCCAAAUGAUCGCCCCGCCAAUUUCACUUUUGGAGUUGAGAGGAAAGCAGAAGCUAACCCUCAAGAUAACAAUAGUGAUGGCAGGGUAAACCCAACUUCAACGGAGAACCUGAUGGACAGCUCUUAAGAUGAUUUCACGAUGUCGCUGUUCAAUCUCCUUGUUCCAGAAGUAAACCCGCUGUAAUCUGCAUGUCGCGGAAGUAAACCUACUGCUCGGUGCCUCGGCGCACCGAAUACUUAUCCGGUGUCUAGGUUUCAGGGAGGUUUUGCCCUUGUCGGAUGAGAAAUGGUUCUCUGGAAACCGAUCUUUGCUUUAGAAUGACUGUAUGAAAUAGAUGUUUGUGGCUCAUCUAUCUGUUCCUUUCUCGUAUAGUUUCUGAUUGCUAUUAUAUGGAUAAGGCAUAGUGCUUACUGCUUACCAGUCGGGUCGUUUAUUUGGUCAUGUAUAUAUGUAGUCGUCCGUAAAAGGAGAGGAGAGAUUUUUCAGGUCGGCAGCUGGUGGUGACGUGAUGAGUUUUAGAUCUUUAGUCCAAUGCAACAGGAGAUUAAGAAUCUAGAUUAUCGCCUUUUUAGUUCGAAGGUUUGAGAAUUAAUGACAGAUUGAUAAGGUAAACAGUUAUUUAUUUAUUUAUUUUAGUUUGUGAACCCAACUGAGUCAAUUUUAGAGACCUUUAGUCAGGUGCAUUUUACUCUUUUACUUUCUCAAUAUGAUGUGUAGACUACUCUAGAAUUUCUACGGAUACAAUCACGAGCGAUGUACCUGACAAUCAUGAGAGAUAGCGUCAUAGCAAUGUACCUGACGAGUGAUGUAGUCAUGUACCUGGACGGAUCGUCGACCAACUGGACAAACUCAGGAUGAUCUAUCUGUAUAUGGAUCAACUUUAGGUCUUGUUUGAAUACGUAUCUAUCCAUAAAUAUAUUAUAUUCACAUAGAUUAAGAGAUUAAGGUGGAUACACAAGCAAAUCCUACAUGCAUCAAAAUAUUAUAUCCACACGCGUAUAUAGUAACUAGUGCAAGUCUCCAUCCACUAGACUUCAUCAAGCAGUAUGACUUUCACACACAACUGGAGUACAAGUGGAAGCUGACGCACCGCAGGCCGCACAAGGAUCCGCAAGCAUCGACCAUGGAGAUCCGCACGACGUCGCUUGUCACACCGCCGGUACAGCCCCACGAGGUCCUGCAAGAAGCAAGAUCCACACAGAUCAGGAAACUCAGAAGACGAACACCAAAGAGAAUGCAGACCACAGCAUCUGGUGUCUCUUCCCUGCCAUCAUCUACUCAUCUCCCAACUUAUAACCUCAAAGAAGACAAGGACGAGUCCCCUGAUCCGAACUUACCACUCUUCCUGCCUAUUCGUUUGGCAUUGGCACACAACAUUGUCGUCAGAGAAACCACGGCUGCUGGUCGGCAAGGUCUAAGAACGUGGUAGUUCAUCUUCCUCCAAAAGUCAAGCACGUACUUCUCUAGAUUAAGUUACGUACUGUAUAUUAUCUGCAUCAUUUUUAGUAUCUGUUGAGAUAUCAAUCUUAACUACUACUACAUGAUUGAGAAAGAAUAUAAUGGACAACUUCCUAAGUUUGGUCUGCUUGUAAUGCUACUUCUGCUACCAAUAAUGUAAUAAGUACUUCUUUUCUUUAUUUCUCAGUGCUUAAUGCCAUUUGAUUUCACUCUUUAGCACCAGCAAUUAUGCCGUCCUAUAUAAAUGCGUUAGUCAUAUGAUUACUAAGGUACUCACAGUGAUGGUUUUCAUUCCCCAAAGAGAAGUCCUACGACUACAGCUGCGAUUGCGCAAGAUCUCUUGAUCUUGGAACUCUCGUUGUUAGAUUUGAUACAACCAUACAAGUAUCAUUUGUAUUUAUUUAAUUAAAUAAAUUUGAGUGAGCCCUCUCGCACCCUCAGGGUUAGUUUGAAAACUCAAAUCCCCAUCUGAGAAUUGAGAAGGAAAAUUAGUUCAUUUCUCCUUCAAUCUCCUCUAAUUCCAAAUAAAAUUUAAGUUUUUCAAACUAGCCCUCAGAGUCAUUCGGGGCCAUCAGGAGUAGCCGUUGGAGGUUCGGAGUUCUUUAGGACCGAUGAGGGAUUUCGGCUCAUCGGUGCGUUCUUGUCAAUCGGUGUCCGUUCGACACCUUUGGGGUUUUUGGGGACCGUCUAGGACUGUCGGGUCCGUUAGACACUGUCGUAGCGUACCGUUGUAUUGAUCAUGUCCGUUCUAUAUGAAUAGACUUUUUGCCACUUGGACCGAUUAAUAGAUUAGUUAAUAGCUAAACUAAUAUAGAUAUAAUGGAGAUACAAUGUACAUGAUAAUGAGUGUGCAAUAUAGUGACUACUCUAUUUUUAGUCUUCCUAUAACUUCUACUACUAUAUCUAACUCUUACGACACGAGCACAAGAUAGAAUACAACAGUACAAAGUCACCUCUCACUUCUCGGUUGGGUUAAAUCCGAAUCUUCUGGUUCUGGUCCUCUGCGCGUAUGGAGUGUGGAAAGAGAAGAACUCACGAAUCGACACCGGAUGUAUGGGUGGUUAGGUUUUUGGAGAGCAUCGCGACCACUUGCUGAUCAUUGUCUUCUUACGGGUGCCAUUUUAGAUCAUCUUCUUUCCCUUCAUCUUAGUGGACAUUCGAGGGAUAGUAGUAUGGUACUAUAAACAUCUGGCCGUGUCGAUUGUGGUCUACUAUUUCAAACAACACAUACUAUCAACUUUAUGGGUUGCUCUAUAAUUUUUUGAUAAAAAAUUAGGAAAAUGUUAUAGCUAUUUUUAUGAGUUGGGUCAUGUAAUUUAAGAUAGAAUACUUAUUUAAUGUACUAUUCGAGAGGCUCAAAAUUAGAAAAAGUUUAGGAGAGACUGAACUAAAUUGUUGCAGUAUAAAAGCUCAUUAUACAUUAUAUUGUAUACAUUUUAGAUUAAGAAGGCUGUAGUGUGACUCCAUAGGAUCUGAAGCGGUAGGGAGGGCUCGAGCCCCGCCCGCUCCACCGCUGGAUCCGUCCCUGACUGAUUGAGUUAGACCAUCUAGACCAAUCACGGGCUUAAUUUACUGGUUGACUCUGAAACCGACAGCCACGAGUACGCCUACAAAAUGGUCAAAUGGACUCUUCAUGUCUCUAUAGAUGAUAUAGAUCACAUUUGUCUGCAGUCUGCACCAAACAAAACGGCCAACGUGGGUGCGUACCAGAAUGCCUAGCCUAGCUAGUGCUCGUUCCACUACGAACAAGACGAAAUCAACCAAAGGCUGCUCGCCACUUCACCACCUUGACCAGGAGAGACCAAGACCGAUCUGACAAACCACGCUUGAACACGUCAGAUAUUUUUAGGCCUGCAACCACGCUCAAGGCCGUCAGAUAUGUUUGGCCCUUGCUCCACCACAUGCAGACGCGGUUGGGUGGCAGCAGCAAGCCAGCAAGGCAGCCAGCCCGCAGCCAGCAGCCAGGCACCAGCAAAACAAGCCGCGACAAACGCGUACGUGAGCCUCGCGACACGCCCGCAUCAGGUGGCUCGGCUCCGGCAGGAUCCCAAAACCGCGCACUGGAAAGAGGCCAUCUAUAGCGGUAGAUAAAGGUCUCCGUCGGGGGUGGGAACGGAGGUCCCCAGGUGCCGUGACGAAUCGGGUGCAGCUCUCCUUUUCGGCGAAGGGAAUCUGCUCGGUUUCGGUUGGUUGUUGAGUGAUGAGCUCGUAACCAGAAGACGAGUUUGCUGAAAAAACUUGCAAGCGCCACGCCAAGGCCCAAGGGCAUACAGCUGACGAUGGAAGUUAGAAUCAAACUGACCUGAUCGAGUCCAUCCAAAUUGACUGCUCACAGGUCAAUUCGGCUGGCCUCGCCCCUCGGCCAGUUGCAUUGCAUGUCUGCGCUUCUUGGCUUGGGAUCGAUUAUGCAAAGGUGUCCGCUGCUGGCUGGACGGCCUACCGAAACAAGACCAUUUGCUGGUUCGCGUCGCAUCGUGUUAUCGUGCGUAGAAUCGGUAGUAGACAAAACGGGGCAGCAAACCGCGCCAAACGGACCAAGAAUUUCCACGCAGAUUUCAACAGAGAUGAUGGGCUCGCCCGCCGGUGCUGGUGCACUCGCCCAUGUCUCGCGCGUCGCACCGCCGAGGACGGCGCCCCGAUUCGUCCUCCUUAUUUAGGCACCGUCUUUUGUCCCCCCCAUCCGUUCCGAGCCGAACCAAGGCGCCAUGAGCUCCCCGGCCGUGCGCCGCGUCGUACUCCUCUCGUCACUCCUCUGCGCCGGAGCGCUCGGUUUCUUGCCCUGCUCCCAUGCCGCCGCGGUGGCGCCCGGCUACGUCGCCGUCUCCGCCGCCAGCUUCGUGCCGUCCUCAACGUGCAGCUCCCCCGACCGAGGUACGCGGGUCUGAUCGUCGGCUGCUUCAGUUCCUCUUUCCCAUAGAGUUGUUUGUGUUUGUUGGGAGCUUCGAUUCCGAUGUAGCUGAUUGAUUCGCUGGCUGGAACUGGAAUUCGGUGUUUGUUUCAGUUCCGCCGCACCGGCGGAACGGCACGUCCGCCGUGCUGCGGCUGACGCACAGGCACGGGCCGUGCGCCCCCUCGCGGGCGUCCUCGCUAGCGGCCCCGUCGGUGGCUGACACGCUGCGCGCGGACCAGCGCCGGGCGGAGUACAUACUGAGGAGGGUGUCGGGGCGCGCGCCUCAGCUGUGGGACUCCAAGGCGGCGGCGGCGGUGGCGACGGUGCCGGCGAGCUGGGGGUACGACAUCGGCACGCUCAACUACGUGGUGACGGCGAGCCUCGGCACGCCGGGCGUGGCGCAGACCAUGGAGGUGGACACCGGCAGCGACCUGUCGUGGGUGCAGUGCAAGCCGUGCGCCGCGGCGCCGUCGUGCUACAGCCAGAAGGACCCGCUCUUCGACCCCGCCCAGUCGUCGUCCUACGCCGCCGUGCCGUGCGGGGGCCCCGUGUGCGCGGGGCUGGGCAUCUACGCCGCGUCCGCCUGCUCGGCGGCGCAGUGCGGGUACGUGGUCAGCUACGGCGACGGGUCCAACACCACGGGCGUGUACAGCUCCGACACGCUGACCCUGUCGGCGAGCAGCGCGGUGCAGGGCUUCUUCUUCGGCUGCGGGCACGCGCAGAGCGGGCUGUUCAACGGCGUCGACGGGCUCCUGGGCCUCGGCCGCGAGCAGCCGUCGCUCGUGGAGCAGACGGCGGGCACCUACGGCGGGGUCUUCUCCUACUGCCUCCCGACGAAGCCGUCCACCGCGGGGUACCUCACGCUGGGCGUGGGCGGGCCGUCGGGCGCCGCGCCGGGCUUCUCCACGACGCAGCUGCUGCCGUCGCCGAACGCGCCGACCUACUACGUCGUCAUGCUGACGGGGAUCAGCGUCGGCGGGCAGCAGCUCAGCGUGCCCGCGUCGGCGUUCGCGGGCGGGACGGUGGUGGACACCGGCACGGUCGUCACCCGCUUGCCCCCGACCGCGUACGCGGCGCUGCGGUCCGCGUUCCGCAGCGGCAUGGCCUCGUACGGGUACCCGACAGCGCCGUCGAACGGGAUCCUGGACACCUGCUACAACUUCGCCGGGUACGGCACCGUGACGCUCCCGAACGUGGCGCUCACCUUCGGCAGCGGCGCGACCGUCACGCUGGGCGCCGACGGGAUCCUGUCGUUCGGGUGCCUCGCGUUCGCACCCAGCGGCAGUGACGGUGGCAUGGCCAUCCUCGGCAACGUGCAGCAGCGCUCGUUCGAGGUGCGCAUCGACGGCACCUCCGUUGGCUUCAAACCCAGCUCCUGCUAACUCAUGGAUUAACAGUCGGCGACUUGGGAUCACUACUAGUAGUAGUAUAUGCACGUACGUAGACGAGAGUGCAGAGAUACAUACAAAGUUACUGUACAUGAUGAUAGUAAAGAUAAACUUGCAGGAGAGCGUAUACCAUACACAGCACACAGCAGUAGCGGUGGAAGUUCUUUCGUUGGUGGAAUUAAGGGGCUAACCAGAGACGUAAGCGUGACGCGUUCCAAUUGAUUCGGCAUUGCUAAUCGAGUUAGUGCAGUGUUAGGAGGGCGUGUGGGCCUACUCUGCCCUGUUCUUUUUGUAGUGGUGGCUCCUUGGUGUUCUAUGUGAGAUUGGACGUCACGAAAUGGAGAUUGAUAUCACGCGCAGCCAUCGCGGACUAGAGUGCCACGAAAAGAUGACCGACAUGUGUUAUAUUGUUUCAUUUGCGCGUAAAUGUAAAUUUUGUUUUAAUAUUAGUUAUUAAUGAUAAUAUAGUGCAUAUUUAUAACCAUAUGUCAUGACUAUCUAAACAUAUUCAUGUUUCUAAUUUAUAUGUAGAUCUAAGAAGAUGUUUUAGUCUAUUUUUUUCAAUAAUAAAAGAAAUGGUCCCUCUAGCCUUGGAGCCGAGAGAAAAGAAGCCAUCUUGAAUUCGGGAAGUGUGGUCCUAACCAUGGUGGUUCCUUUGAUAUCCUCUCAUUUGCAAACCAUGUUGCUUGGAAUCUUUCAUUUGGACUUCAUCUCUUGAACUCUUUUGAUUUGAAAUUCAUAUCGAUUUCUUGAAUUUGAGUUGUGACAGUGUUUGGGCUUGAUAGGGUUGUGGAAAACCUUCCUAGAAUCAUCACCACCAGAUUGCGUGGGUUGAUUCAUCACGAACACAUUUUUCCAUCCUUUUGAGCCAUAUUGAGAAAACCACAAUUUGGAUUUAAUUUUUUGAUAUGAUUCUUCAAAUUUGAUCUUUCUAAGUUCAUACUUUGGGAACACCCGGGAAUCAUCCUUGCAAAGGUUAGCUCAAGCGGCAUCGUAAUGCAGUAGGAGCGGUACUGUCAUGUAGUAGGAGCGGUAUUGCCAGUUCGUGGCACUAACGGCCAGGAGAACAUCACUCCUGCACUCUUCAGAGAAAUUCUUGCUUUUGCCUCUUCCAUACUUUUGUGUGUCAAAAUUGUGUUCUGUUUGCUUAGCCAUGUUCAUAUCCGCAUUAGAAACUCCAUCAAGGUAUCUAACCACAAUUGGUUGAGGUGUUCUUGAUUAGGGAUAUUCUUUGCUAGUUGGGAUGUUUUUGAGGUUUGGACGAAGUUCUUGGAAAGCAAGCCAAGAUUAUAUAAAGAAAAAUUUUAUUGUCUCCCAUUCACCCCCUCGUCUAGUCAUUGGAUUCGAUCCUUCAAUGUGAUAGAAACCUAGUCCCUUAUUAGUACUACCAUAGUACUGAGCUGGAACUUGAGGUUAGCACCUUAUAAACUUGUCGACCACAUGGUAAGUACGAUGGAAGAUGAAGAAUACUCUAGGCUUGUUACAACUUAAACUAUAAUGUCUAGUGUAUCCACUAUUGUAGCACACUACACUUGGAAACUUGUCCUUGGAACUAUGUUAGCCUCAACCUUCUCCAAAUCCUCUUCUACUCUCUAUGAUGUGUGAGAUCCUAAUCUAUUGAGGGGUAAAUCAUUGGCCAUACCUUCUUGAUUUGCAUUGAUGGUGGUGGUGGAGAUGGAAGAUGCUUCUUGCUGCGGUGCACCACCACCUCCUCCACUUUGGGUGCUCCACCAUCUUCCUCGUGUUGUGCUUCCUCUACUUCCUUAUAAAGACCCUCGAAACAAAUGUUGUCCAAGUAUUCAUUUGCUCCGGUGAAGGAUGAAAAUCAUGUUUUUGGGGAGUGUUAGUGACAUAACUGCUAGCUUCCUCUACUUCCUCGCGUUGUGCUUUGUCAUCUCUUAGCCACCUCGGUAUUUUGUCACUCGUUACUCAUCGUCAAAAACUACAUAUAUGCAUUGCAUCAAGCAGGGCGGCUACAUCGAAUAGAAACAAUUUAUACGGAUAUUUGUGGUCCUUUCCUUAUGAAGACAGUAGAUCAUUUUGAUUCGUUCAUUACUAGUGUGUUUGGUUUGCAAGAUGACCCGGUCUGAAAUUAUCCGAUCCAAACACCGAAGCUGCUGAAACCGUUUGGUUAACAUCGUGGAGCCAACUCGUCCGUAACAAACACGUUUAGAAACAUAGCAAAUUUGUAGGUCGGGUCGGUUCCUCCAAUUUCGCUUGACAAGUAUAUUCCUGACGAGUGUAUGCUGGGCGUACUCAACCCUACAACCAAACACGUUGUACAUCUAUUGAUGACUUUUUAUGAUAUGAGUAUAUUUAUCCGUUUCUAUUUAAGAAACGGCCAAAAGCAUUAAAUAAAUUGAAGGUAUUCGAAUCUAUAGUCGAGAAUCAAUAUGAUUUAAAGAUUAGAUCAGUGAUAAAGUGGCUCCACCCUUCUGUUCCUUUCCCUAUUCACAACGGGAGCAUAGGAAUUGGGGGAGAGGCGGAGAGCUCUCAGAAACACAUCUAAACUGUUGGGCAAUUAUGUCAGUGUAUGCACAACUUUUUAUCUCGAAUUAUUGAUUGUUUUAGAUUUUUUAGAUACAUAUACAUAGUAUAGGCUAUACAUCUAGAUAUACUAUAUGUUUAGAUAUUUAAUAAAAAAUAUAUAUCUGAAAAAGUUAAAACGAUCAAUAAAUCAGAACGGAUUGAAUACGUCACAACAUACAAGAGUGUGCAGAGCAAAGGCCAAAUGCAAGUUUCUACAACAACAUACUCAUCCGAGGAUAAGACAACAUGCUGCCAAAUUUUACAAGCAAUGUGAUCCUUCAACUUACAACAUCGACAUGACAAAAUUCUGCUGCACAAAUUCCUUGAGUGAUCACACUGACGAAUAUAUGCAGCAGAAGUUAUCAUGCUCUAAUAUAUGCUACACAUUACAAUUUACAAGCAGUACGAGGGUAAAAAGUACCGCCUUCUUACACUAGGUCUGUACUUCGUUCCUAUCCCGCGUAAAGUACAAGUCCAGGUCGUAACAAGAACAAAUAAGUGGUACGAGCAGGGAUGCCACAUGAAACUUGCAGUAAUGGGAGGUCUUUGCAGAAUUUAUCAGGCUUGCCCCUGCAGAUCACCGUGAAAUCAAAAUGAUACAGUAUAGAGGUUAAACUGCCUGAAUGAUCUCUACAUCAGUGUAGCUGGCUAGCUGCAUUUCGCAUAGAUGUCCUGUAGUCUUGCUUACUGUUGUGGUGUCAUAAGGGCACUGUAGUUUUUCAGUGCACAAUUGCUACAAGAGGAAAGCCUGCUUUUCGCUGAUACAUGACCUUCAGUUCACAAUAUUCUCCCUCGGCAAUCAAACGAAUAAUCAUAUCGUCCAAGUAGUUUCAUAUUAUUAACAAGCCAGUCUCUGAUAUAUGGUCUUCCAGUUCUCUAUUUCCUCCCUUGACGAGCAAAUGAAAAUACUUGUAUUAGCAUAGAUGAGUGUAGUACUAAGAAACCUACACAGGUCAAAGAAAAUAAAAAGGAUUGACACAAAGCAAGCAUAUAUGAGCUUAUGACUAACCGCACGCAGCAACCAAUAGAAUCAUAAUGUAGAAGGGCAAUCGGCCUGCGCUUUCCUGCAGUUCUAUGGGCAACACCACGCUUAACUACAGGCAGUUGCUUUAUCCCUCUGGCCUCCAUAAGACUCUUUGCAGUGGUCAAAUCAGUAUCUGGAAAGCAUGUUAACAAUCCACGUUCGCUCCCACGAUACUGGAAUCCUCGAGUAAGACACAAUGAAAUGGAAGAAGAGUUAUCCUGUAACAAAUAUCAAUGCAUUUUCUUACAAGUGUGAAAAUUGUUUCUAUGGCUCCAGAAGCUAGGAUGAAUGCACAUAUAGUAGACAUCACAGUUUGAGUCUAUAGCUAACUGAUUCCUUAAAAGACGCGGUUAACUUAAAUAGUGCAAAAGUGACAAAUUUGUUAUUUGUUAGCAUAGUCAUAUUUAGCAAUGAUUGUGUUUCCAAUGGGGCCAAUCCUAGCAUCUAGCUCGUCCUAAGACAAGGCACACAUCUGGGAGCUUGUAGGCACUAGAGAUAGCCAAUAGAUUACAAACUGGUGGUUUUGUUGGGUUUGGUCGUGGAUUGAUGUUUUAUUUCUGGUAUAAGUAAGAGUGUGUGUGUGUAAGCAUGGUGGACGUGUUGUAAUUUAUUAUCUCCUUGAUGCAAUGAUGUGUCUCUCCUAAAGAAAAAAAAUGUUACUUUGAGCUUUAUUCAGUGCUAAAGUACCAUAAGCUCAUUAGAUUGUCAACCUUGUCCUAAAUUUGUGCACUAAGGCUUUUAUGAUGUAUAAAUUUUCCUUUCUUUCUUAAUAUAAGGCAGCGCUCAUGCCAUAUUUUCAAAAGGCACAGAUGUAUUUAAUGGGAAGAAAGAAAUUUCUUGCACCAUAUAAACGUACGUCAGCCUUGGGGUGAUCUCCAUUGAUGAAACUUUCCACAUGUAACCCAUAUCCCAUGCGCCGUAUAUCCCCUAAUGUAAUUAUUCCUUCAAGAAAAUCUUCAGGGUCCACAACCAGGGCACAAUUUUGCUGUCUAUCAUGCAACAGAUUAAGAACUUCUGUUACUGUAGCAGAUGGUAACACUUUGAGAUAUAUCUUUGACAUGGCCUGGAAGACCUGAUUAAAAAGGUACAAAUAAAUGAAACAACAUAAACAGAAGCACAAAUACAGCCUUGCAAUUCAAGCGUUACAAAGUAUGUCAAUCAAAUAUACUAUACGUGAUAACAAGAGCCAGAUAUGAGUAAGAUCUGCGAGAAUAGAGGCCGACAAACCUUCAAAUCAUCCAGAAGCAUUUCUGCAUUAUAAGUUCCAUAGUUACUCAUGUCAGUUUGUAUAAUACUGAGCUCAAGAUCAUCCACAACAUCACCUUGCCUUAAGCUGCCAUUUCUUUCUUCUGGUGACAUUGAAGAAUAACCUCGUCUGGAUGUUCUAAACCCAGAAGGCUCACUGUCGUUUGGCUGGUUUACUACUGAAGGAACCCAUAUUGCCAACCCAACUGCUCCCUGUUAAGAGCCAGGAAAUAAAAUGUAUUAGUUUGAACAUGCACUAGGAGGUGAAGCAAAUUACCUAUAUGUCCAUUGCAUAUAAAAUGGUAACGGAAAUAACUUUAUGUUUAUGUGUUCUGAAACAAAAAAUAUAGUAAAACUGCAUUGACAUUUAACACUUACCAUGAGCGGAAGCAAAAUCCUGUAAUCCUUUGUCAGUUCAAAGAGAAGCAGUACUGAAGUCAAUGGGACUGAACAGACUGAAGCUAGUGUAGCAGCCAUUCCAACCUACAGAAAGUCAGAGCUAGUGCACAUUAUUACUUAUCGCAUUAGGGAAAGUGAGUUGCAAGCAACUUACCAGAGCAUAAGCUUGUGGCUGUGCAACAGCAGCAUUACCAGGUAAAGCUGAAUUUAUUAAAUAAGCAGCUGAACCCCCAAAAACAGCUCCAACAGCAGCCCCAAUCAUCAGGCUUGGAGCAUAUAGUCCUCCCACAAGCCCAGAGCCCUUGCAGAGAGCAGUUGCAACUACCUUUGCAGCCGCCAGUUGAGUUAACAACCAGAUACCAGGAGCAGAAGCACUUUUACCGGUAUGCAAUAUUUCUUCAACAUUUGUGAAACCCCAGUAUAAGAUCCCUGGAUAUUUCAGAGCUAUGAUACCAGCUCCCAGCCCACCUAAAGCAGGGUACACUAUUAUAGGAAAAUCAAACUUUUCCUUUAUGUGCCCAAAGAAUCUUGAAAACCAUCCAACCAAUCUAUCAAAUACCACACUGACCGCUCCACAUAGCAUUCCUAAGAUAAGGUACAAUGGUAGCUCUGCAAACAAGUUGAAGAGAUUAGGACAACCUUAAAAACACACAUUUCACAUACGCUUGACGGCUUGAGUUUACAAAAUAGGAGAACAAUAUUAUGUGGGAUUCAAAAAUCUAAGUCAACGUCAUUGAAAUGAGUUUUCCAAAGGGAACUUAAAAUUUGUACCAAAAAGGUCAAUCCUAACUUACAAGAAAGAAAACAUUUAUGGCAAUUAUGCUCAUAACCUAAAAAAAACUCGGCCGGGGAGGGAAAGACCGCCCUCCCGGUAUUAUAUUAAGAAGAGACUGAAAUAUGGUCCUGGCCGAAAAAAUCCUCGAACCCUGACCCCCAUUACUAGCGGGCCGUCACUAUCCACUCUGCAACGGCCCAACCGAAGGGUGGCGCACGGGACGUAACCCGAGAGCGGGCGGGACACAGCGAGGAGAUUUUUUUAAUCAAGCCCGAAAUUUGUCCCCGAGGGGGAUCGAACCUGGCACCUGGAGGUGCUACUCGAAAACCUUAACCAUUACGCUAGAGGCCCUUUCACAUUAUGCUCAUAACCUAAACAAAUGGAAUCACGUAUCUGGGCUUAAUGAACUUAGAAAACCAUUUUACAAGAGGUGCCCCGAAGCUCCAUAAAAGGAAGGAUAGCUACUAACGUUACUGUAAGAAAAGAUCAGAACAACUACCGGCAGCAGAUUUGAGCUCAUAUGCUGGCACUAUAAAAGCUGGUCUGGCUCCAAGUAAAACAUUUGAAACAGUAGAUGAUAUAACAGAUGCCAAUAUUAUCAUUGCAGUCGUAAAUGGAGGUGAAUUUUCUGCUUUAAGAGGCCUUAAUACAGUUUCAAUGGCAAAGAAGCACCCAGCAACUGCUGCAUUGAAGCCUGAAAAGAGACACACACCAGAAGCAGUAUAUUAGCAAACUUAUAUCAUGGAAAAGGUAGAAUUGUACCAAAACUAAGGAUUAUACAUAUAAUAAAAAGGGAAGCAUUGCAACCGAUCCAUAUUAGCUACUGCAUUUUAAGGUUUCUUUUUACAAUGUUUACAAAUAUAUGCUUAUUCCUAUUCUGUUAUCUGUUGAAUAAUCACAGGCCAUAUUUUAAAAACCAAAAGUUGGCAUGCCAAAAGAAUCUAGCCUUUUCUCAGAUCUAAUUAAGAUGAAAUUUCAUGUGACGUGUUAUUGAAUGAAAAUUAUACCUGAAGCAAUGCCAGCAGCAGCGCCAGCAGCAACAAGUGCAAUACGCCUUUCCCGGUUACUCUCCAUCAUUUCUGAGCAUGCAUUUGCACACGAUUUGCCAAUAUCCACACUAGGACCUUCAGGUCCCAGGGAACAGCCAGUCCCUAGGGUAACAGCAGCUUGGACAGCCUUUAUGGUUGGGAAGAUGGCUCCAACAAAGUUGAUUCCUUGCCUCUGCCCUGAUUUCACAAGUUUUAGCUGCUCAAAUAUAUCGAGCAACCCAUGCAUCAUUCCUACAACCACACCCCCAGUCACCGGGAUCAGCAGUAUCCUGUGCCAAGUAUCAGCUAUCUUCUGCAGGCGGAGCCAUGCUGCACCUUCGUUGGGAGUCCCUGCCCAUGCCCAUUCAUGGAUGACAUGAACCUAGCAAAGUCAUCAAGACAGCUGUAAAUGGAAUCAGUUGUUCAAAUAUGCAAUCACCAAAUCUCGGCUAUUAGUGUAACGUGGUUAGUUUUAAAAUAAAAUUUGUUGCUUAAUAAUAUUGUGGGUACCCUAAUAUGAUCGGUGAGUUACACGAAACGUCAGCUGAGUAUAUAUAGAUCAAUUAAGCAAACAUAAAUGGAACCAAAUUUGCAGCAUGGCACUAGCUUUUCCGUGGUAGUUACACAUUCCAAAAGUAGGCAAUAACGUUACUAAAACCAAGUACACCCAAAUACUAGAACACAAAGCUCACAAACCAAACCAAUUUAAAUAGUGCUACACCACUAUUACUCCUACAGUCUACAUGAAUGUCCAACUUCCUAAUUAGAAACCAGUUGGCUCACCCCGCGGUUAAACGCGGCGACGCAGAUGCCGGUGGCGAGCCCGAGGAGGCAGCCGAUGAGCAGCAGCGCCCACUCGGGCGGCGCCCCGUCCCCGAGCUCGUCGUCAUCCCCCGCCGCCGCUCUCUCCCGCUGCCGCUGAGACGGCGGCGACUCGAUCGCCACGGAGCGAUCGAGCUGCUGAUAAUGCUGGUGCUGGCGACGCCCAGGCCCAGAUCCGCGUGCGGACAUGCGGCGCUCGAGGUUGCGCAGGAGACCGCGCACACCCCCGCCGCCGCUGGCGAGCCUCGGGGAGGCGGUGACGGUGGCCUCGUCCGCCUCGACGUCGGCGUGGUGCUGAUGUCCCGCCGAACCGCGCGGCGAGGGGCAGGACGGCGACGAGGCCCCAGCGUGGGAUCUGAGGAGCGAGGCGUGGUCGUCGUCGCAGGAGGACAUGGUGCCGGCGUCGCCUCCGCUGUCAGGGGAGCCGCUGCCGCAUCGAGAUCUGGAGGCGGGAGGGAACGCGGACGCGAGGGAGGGAGGCAAAGCGGAGAGGUUGACGAGUGCGAAGGCGGCGUGUCGGAUGUCGGUUCUUAUACGAGGAGGCCGGCGACGCCGACGCGGGAAGUCAGGAGAGAGCGAGGUACCUCGCGAGCACGAGCACGAGCACGGCACUACGGCAGUGAUGAAACAGAGACAAGGGCCGAUCGACCCCACGGGCCACGGGUCGCACUGACCUGCGACCUGCGCGCGGCGCGCUGGUCGUCCACUGGCGAGCGCUGCUGGCUGCUGCAACGGCAACGCCGCAACGGCUGAACGGUGUCUGUGAACUGAACGGGUCUGAACCUGGAGAUUCUCAGGCAUCCAAGCGUAGAAGUGUACAAGGGCCCCGAUAUUCGUUCGGUGUCGGCGUGCGCGCGCUGUACAGGUGCACGCGUGACGUCGUGAGGUGCACUGAAAUCGUGGACUCUCUUUUCAUGUAUUUUAGUAUUUUAAAUAUUGUUCGCAAAAAAAUUUGCCCCCUACAUGAAUCAUGUGUAUAUCAGUUUAUGUGAUGAAGAACCGUAGGAUAGUUAAAGCUAAGUAUAUUUUGUCGCGAGUGAUAACCACUAGAUUGUUUGAACAUCGUGGUCAUGGGGCGCUUAUCUAUACAAUUAUAUUUAAAUGAUGCUGCCGCGCUUGGGACAAAUGUUGACCGCAAGAACAUUAAGUCCGAGGGGUACUCGAAAACAUGACGGCAAUAGAUACCCGAAAACACGACGAGUUUUACCUGAUAUGAUGGUAUAAAAUUAUUUCUAUAUCCGCGAGUAUGUUAAUGGAUAAAAAUCUAUAUCCGUUGGGUAUAUAGGUAUAAGUAUGGGCGGGUAAAAUAUACUCGAAUGCGUUACCCCGCGUGGGUAUAAAUACAUGUAAGAUUUUAUACCGCAAACAGAUACUCGCGAAUAUGAGUAACACGACGCAUAUAUUUUUUAUUGAUAAAUAUGGGUAUAGAAUGAUAUUACCACCAUGGACUAUCGAGCAAUUGAUGCGGACGGGCCAAGGCUCUGUGCGAGUUAAAUGGUUGGCUUAUUUCUGCUUUAAUGGAACCUAAUGGUUCAGGUCUACUAGCUACUUGGCCCAGAGAGCCAUUUUUUUUUGUCUUGGGUAAAAGCCCAAACAGCGGCGAAAUGGGCUCAACAAGCUCAGCUGACUUGGUUGGCCCAAACUUUGAUUACCCGCAUGGGCUAAAAUAUGCUUAAGAAACAAGGCGGCGAAUAUGUGGGGUUGGUUUCUUCGAAGAACCGAAGAAGACGGGGUUUUCUUUUGCUCAAACAUCAUUUGGAUGGAGUUUAUAAGGGCGAAACACCGUAGGACGACACGCACCUCAGCAAACAUACUGUACCAGUCAGUAUGAAUCAUAAUCAGUGUAGGUGUCUGUGCAUAGCGACACAUUGUUUUCUCUCUAUCUCUCUCGAUCGUAUCACUGAGACCUGGUUCUGAAAUAAUAAAUACAUAAACGGCGGAUAAAAUACUUGAGAGUUUGUAACGAUGUUAAGAGUGUGCUAAUAUGGAGCCUGUUCAAGCGCUUAUUUGCGUUAUAGGGCCUGAAUUGUAUACCCAUAAUGCUUAUUGACGCGACAUCAUUUUCUUUAAGCAUAUGCAUCAAAGCAUAUGCCUAAGCACAAGUUGCAUGUACCCAUAAUAAAGCCUAGCCGCACCCGCACCAUACGCAGCAUCGCUACCAAAUAUUAAUACACUAGCGCCACAGCCCUGGACGCCACGUUGUGCGCGCAUCCUUUUCUCCUCGCCUUUGAUGGACAGGGACGAAUUUGGUGCCCGUGGCCACGCGCAACUUUGGAUCUAUUUAGAAUAUCUUCAAUUAAUUAUUGGAAGAGUAAAUUUAGAUCGAAACAUUAUCAGUGGACAAUUUCACAAGUGAAUCUGUCAUCUACCGUGGAUCUAUCAGAUCAGACAGUCGUUUAGAUAUUUAGAGUUAAAUUGUUUGAAGCGAAUCCAAAUUUGGUGGAGUUUUUUCUCCUUUAUUUAUUGGGCCGACGACGGAGCUGCCUGCAUGUCUGUUGACGGAUCGGCCAUGGGUGAGGCCGGCCGCCGCACCGCAUCACGCGGCGGAACAGCGCACAUGUGGUUGGUGAGAUGGCCGCUUCCGUUGCUGGUGCUGCUGGUGCUGGUGUGGCCGGUUGGUGCGCGCCUCGGCCUCGGCCUCGGCGCCUCCACCACGAUGAGAUUAUUCUCCUGUCACUUCCAGCGGGCGGCAGCAGUGCGGUGGCGGUUGCGGUUGGCGGUGCGGCACCUGCACUGCACAGCACACCCAAUCGGAUCCAAAGCCGGAGGAGGAGGCGUCCGGCUGAAGCUUCGUUCCGACGAAAAGAUUCCGUCACCGGCUAAUCAGAUGCAGAUGCUGCUGGCUACCUAGAUUCUCUCUUCCUUGCUGCAGAGGAACUUGAUUACUCUUACUAGUUACUCCUAUACGAUAGCAUAUGACGCCGCGUGCCGGCAGAUACACAGACUUGGACUAGCAUGCAGCUUCGUGUUCACCUCUCUUUCUCUGUCGUUCUGAAAUCUGAAGCGAGAAUGAGACUUGACUGAAAGACUGAACUGGCUAGCUAGUAGCUAUACAGAAACUAGUAUAGCUCUCUGACCAAGUGGAUAUCUGUCGGAGGCACUCCUGCAGACGGUGGUCAUUGUUGUUGUCCCGUGUUGCGUCGCAUUAGCAUUCGGUAACCACCUCGGUCGAUCGAUCGGUCUAGCAUUUUUCGUCAAAGCUAGUACGGGGGGCGAUGCUGGACGACAUUUAUCACUGGCGCGUGAUUGCUGUUUAGACUGACAGGUGCGCAUAACCGCCAGCUUAAUUAAUUGAGCAUGGUGAGUAGAAGGCGGGGCAGCUUCAUAAUUGUGCACCUACCUUGCAUUGGCUUUUGCGCUGCAGAAAAGCAAAUACCUCUCUUGGUCUUGGCUACCAUCUCGCUGCUGCACACGUCACAGGCACAGGGCAACAGCAGCAGUCCUAGUUCUGAAAGGCAACAACGAUACCGGUACACGAGCCGUCGGCGUCGGAACGGAAGCCUCCAAUCAGAAAAGAAAAUAAAAUGGACCAAAGAAUGGAAAACAAAAAAAAGGAGAUGGAAAAAAAAACUCUGACGCGCCUGAACUGAUACGAUCAUGAUCUCUCAGCAGCAGAGGAGAGGAAAAAACAGUUAGAGAACGGACUACGGAAGCAGUGGUAGUACGUAGUACUCAGGUGGUUGGACUGGAUUAAAAGGGGUCGUUUUUCAACCGCCGAGGCUGAAAGCUACCGCGGGGGUUCGCAAGCUAGCAAAGCAGGACGGGCGGGCGCGCCAUCGGAAUCUCUAUAAAAGGCCGCGAGGUGGCCAGGCUUAACUUCAUAGAGAGAGCCACUGGCCACAGGCAGGCAGGAGGAUCGGACGAGUCGGCGAGGAAGCUGCCUGCUUUCAGAUAGAGAGAGUUAUUAAGAUGGCGUUGCUUCGGCUGCUUGCCAUCUCCCUGCUCUUCGCAGUGGCCACUCCUGUCAGGGACAUCGCCCACGAUGCCUGCUCGUCAGAAGUGAAGGGUACUGCUCCUAUCCUCAUGUGCUCGUUAGUCACUUGCAUGUUUUUUUUUUUGCCGAUAAUUCAUGCAUGUGUUUGCUUGCAAUGGUUUUUCUGCACGUACGUAACUGACCAGGCUCGUAAACGAUAUAUAGCGCUAGCAGUGUUUCAUCUUUCAAAUCGAAAUUAUAUAUCAGCGGCGCGGCGCUAGAUUCAUGCAUGAUCUCCAUGCAAACCUGAAAGACUGAAACUUCGGUGGGCAAAAUUAGUUUAAAAAAAUGAAGCGCGGAGCGGAGGUUGAUCGAACCUGUUGCCUAGUCCACGAGUCCACGACAGGCAUAAAGCGAGUUUAUAACUGAACGAAAGCUGACAGCUACUAGGGUGUGGGACCGUGUGUGAGCCAAAAGGACUGACGAUCGAAUCUUCGCAGGAAAACAUUAUCGACAGACAGCAUACAAAGUUAGUAUGUUAGGUACACUUAUGUCUGUACUGUACUAGACUACUGCUAGUAGAUUAUGAAUUCCGUCGCCACUAGCACUAGCUAGCCCCCGCCGCCGCGCAAAGCGUCCAAGUUAGGCCUAGCUAGGCGGCCCAAUUGGCGCUUACCACCCUUGUGCUCUGCUACCACACUGAUAGGCAGCCUGGCUGGCCCGGUGCCACACACCGUCGAAUUUCCUUUUUGACUGAAAACAAAAAAAAAGUGUAUGAGAAGACACGCCGCCCGUUCGUUACCAUCCACAUGCUAAUCUAUCAACAGGAUGUUUUCGCCUGCCGACAUGCAUUUUUCGAACAAAGGGAGUUUGUUUCAUCGAACAAAAUGGUGUCUACAUUCAGAGGAUAUGCAUGUGUGUAAUGUGACCAACAUGCAUACGCACAGCACGACAGCAUAGCAGAUAGCAGCCUAGCACAGUAGCACGCAAUUAUUAUUAUCUGUUUGGCAACAAUAGCCGUUUUUAGCUUUUAUCCUGACAAGAUGAGAUCUAGAGACCUGAAUUUAAUUUAUAUCGGCUUUAGUUUUUGGAACCCAUCCAUCGACCAUCGAUCACACACGGCUCCGAUGGAAUUGAUGCAUGGCUCGUACGCAAGUUGAGAUUCAGGUGGACCGAGUAGUACUUCUCCCCUCCACUCCACCCGUGAAGAAAGAAGCCAAUCAAUCGCUUCCCGAUUCCCACCGCCAACCACCGUCCAUCACGUCCGGAAAAAAGGAUGGCCGUCGAAGUGGGCAGCCAGCCAAUGCACUCCUCAAACGUCACCGCACCGGACAGACAUGCAUGGUUUUCAAUGCCGAUCGCCCCCCUUCAAUUGCGUGCCCACGCUGGCGGCGUAGUGGCAUCAUGCCUACCAGACCAGAUAUGUGCUGUGGCCUGUGUGUCUGCGUAGCCAUCCCUGCUGUGUUGUACACAAGCAUAUAUUCAUCGGUACGACGGUACCAGUACAGUCUUCGUCGUUCUCCUCCCUGGAGAAAUAUCUUUUGAGGAUGUUCUCUCUCUCUCUCUCACACGAAAACAUAGUGUGCACGGUAUAUAUAUAUAUAUGAUCGGAUGGUCUGUACUUGACCGCAAAAGACAUAAGGCGUAUUCAGAUGGAUGGUCCUUGUCACAAGCCGGCCGGCAACCACUCCAAUUAAAACCCGUUGUUGGCCACUUAGCAUGCUGUUUUUUUUUUCUUUUUCAGCUAGGACCGUACUACUAAUAUCUUGUUAACUACCAACUAAAUGCAUUAGCUUCGUUUUCCCCCCCUUUUUCCCCUUUAACCCUUUUGUCUUGAUGCAAGAUUGCAAGAGCUAGCUACUAGGUUAUUGCCGAUGGUAGUUUCGUUCCUGAAUAAUCAAAUAAAACGGUCAAGCUUGACAGUUAAAGUAUCACGUGUAAUUACCCGAAUUGUCGCCAAGCUAGUAGGAGUACUAUACACAUGUGAGAACUAGGGAAUUUCUGAUGGUAUGGUAGCCAUGGAGAGUAGGCGCCGUAUGGUUCGCAAUUUCACGUGUCGAUAAUGUAUAGCUUCUCUGCCAACUACCUCGAAUUAACACGUACAGUACGCGUCUCUUCAAUGGAAUUUAAUACUGUCACACCCAGUUGAUGCGUACAUAUCAUCCAGCUACGCUCCAAGGUCUAAAGAUGUCCUCGUGAUAGAGUGCUCGGUAUAGCUAGUAUGAUGCGCAUGAUUGGCACUCACAGGCUCCGAACCUGUAAAAUAAAGUAUUCUUUUCAUGCUUGUUUCCGAUCAUGCGACCCGAAAUUCGAUCCCCUGGGGAGUUGGGAAUAUAAUGAUAAGCUAGUAUAGGACUGUAGGACGACACUAAUCUCUCGUCAGGCCAGUUUCAUUCCAGAUCUAGUGACUGCUCUGCAUGUUCCAAGAUGACUGAAACAGCAUUAGCCCACCACAUGGCAUCGUACUAAUACAACAGUAUAUUUACACAUGAUUGUGCAUUUGGCUUUACAUUGGCCACGUCACCACGUUUGGUAAGACGUCAGAACAUUACAUAUGUUGCAUCGCUAUCUAAUCAUAUAGGGCGGCUACUGGCUAAAAAACUGUACGACAGCCACUGGUGCGGUAUUUAGCUCGGAGUGCGUGCGUGCGUGCGUGCGUGUUCGGUGUCGUGGCGACGAUAAUGCACUGAUAUAAUCUCAUAAUUAAGCCAUGCAGCAGAAUGAAAAAAAGGUUGUUACUACAAUACAGCCCUUUUGUCACGAUCGCAGUACGUAAAGUAAUUCGUUUGUGCGAAUUAAUUUAUUACUGACGGAGGUAUGAACUGACGAAACUGCAGAUUUCCAGCACCUGAACAACAGCUCGGGGCUCCACCUGACGCUGCACCACCCGCAGAGCCCCUGCUCCCCGGCGCCGCUGCCCGCCGACCUCCCCUUCUCCGCGGUGCUCGCCCACGACGGCGCGCGCAUCGCGUCGCUCGCCGCGCGCCUCGCCAAGACGCCGUCCUCUCGGCCCACCUUGCUUGACGAGAGCCGCGCGGGGUCGUCGUCGUCGUCCCCCGAUGACGAGUCCCUCGCGUCCGUGCCGCUCGGCCCGGGCACGUCCGUCGGCGUCGGCAACUACGUCACCCGCAUGGGCCUCGGCACGCCGGCCAAGUCGUACGUCAUGGUCGUGGACACGGGGUCCUCGCUCACCUGGCUCCAGUGCUCCCCCUGCGUCGUGUCGUGCCACCGCCAGUCCGGCCCGGUGUUCAACCCCAAGGCGUCCAGCUCCUACGCCUCCGUGUCCUGCUCCGCGCAGCAGUGCAGCGACCUCACCACCGCCACGCUCAACCCCGCCUCCUGCUCCACCUCCAACGUCUGCAUCUACCAGGCCAGCUACGGCGACAGCUCCUUCUCGGUCGGGUACGUACGUACGUUGUCUGUACGAAUACAUAUUGUACGGUAUUAUUAUUCUUAUUACUAUAUUGGCAUGCAAUAUAUGCAGGUAUCUGAGCAAGGACACCGUGUCGUUCGGCUCCACCAGCGUGCCCAACUUCUACUACGGCUGCGGACAAGACAACGAGGGCCUCUUCGGGCAGUCGGCGGGGCUCAUCGGCCUGGCGCGUAACAAGCUGUCGCUGCUGUACCAGCUGGCGCCGAGCAUGGGCUACUCCUUCUCCUACUGCCUCCCGACGUCGUCGUCGUCGUCCUCGGGGUACCUGUCCAUCGGCUCCUACAACCCGGGGCAGUACUCGUACACGCCCAUGGCGUCGAGCUCGCUGGACGACUCGCUCUACUUCAUCAAGAUGACCGGGAUCAAGGUCGCGGGCAAGCCGCUGUCCGUGUCGUCGUCGGCCUACUCCAGCCUGCCGACGAUCAUCGACUCCGGCACGGUGAUCACGCGCCUGCCUACGGGCGUGUACUCGGCGCUCAGCAAGGCGGUGGCGGGCGCCAUGAAGGGGACGCCCCGCGCGUCGGCGUUCUCCAUCCUGGACACGUGCUUCCAGGGCCAGGCGGCGCGGCUGCGCGUGCCCGAGGUCACCAUGGCCUUCGCCGGCGGCGCGGCGCUCAAGCUGGCCGCCAGGAACCUGCUGGUGGACGUGGACAGCGCCACCACGUGCCUGGCCUUCGCGCCCGCCCGGAGCGCCGCCAUCAUCGGGAACACGCAGCAGCAGACGUUCAGCGUCGUCUACGACGUCAAGAACAGCAAGAUCGGGUUCGCCGCCGGCGGCUGCAGCUGAGAAGCGACACCUACAUACACGCGCAUGCACAGACCGACUCGGUAACUAAAACUAAAACGAGCAGCGCAUGCAUGCAUCUACCGUCCGGUUUCGUCUGAAACCAUCAUUAAUUUCGAUCGUCCACUCCACGCACAGCAAGUUCUUUACGGACCUUGCCGCAUAUGAUAUGUACAUGGUGACAAGAUAAGGUACAGGAGAAUUGAUGAAAGAAGCGUUGCCGGCCAGUCGUCGUUGCACAAGAACAAACACAUAAAUUAAAACAUUAUUACAGGAGUAGGGUAUUUAU
RNAcentral lists this long non-coding RNA (24258 nucleotides) under Zea mays. RNAcentral's name for it is "long non-coding RNA (ZMAY_LNC003468)". The record is from RNAcentral. Lineage: Eukaryota; Viridiplantae; Streptophyta; Magnoliopsida; Poales; Poaceae.